GCGACAAAAGCUGGAGCUGAAAUGCUUGUGAUGGCCUAUGGUAGGUCAUAUGGAUUACCUGUGAUCACGACCAGAGGAAACAAUGUUUAUGGACCUAAUCAGUUUCCUGAGAAGCUAAUUCCAAAGUUCAUUCUUUUGGCCAUGAGAGGUCAGCCUCUUCCCAUUCAUGGAGAUGGUUCUAAUGUUAGGAGUUAUCUGUACUGUGAGGAUGUUGCUGAGGCUUUUGAAGUCAUUCUUCACAAAGGAGAGGUUGGCCAUGUUUAUAACAUUGGGACAAAGAAGGAGAGAAGGGUUAUAGAUGUUGCAAAGGAUAUAUGCAGACUUUUCUCGAUGGAUGCAGAUGCAAGCAUCAAAUUUGUAGAAAACAGACCUUUUAACGAUCAGAGGUAUUUCUUGGAUGACG
Molecule: long non-coding RNA, 403 nt
Filed under: Cucumis sativus (cucumber)
Lineage: Eukaryota; Viridiplantae; Streptophyta; Magnoliopsida; Cucurbitales; Cucurbitaceae
Description: long non-coding RNA (CSAT_LNC001431)
Source: RNAcentral